AAUAGCCAACAAUUCCAUUCAGCAUCACCUACAACCUUCAGCUCCACGUGCUCUUGACUGCCUUGCCUGCAAAACCCAUCUGGGGAGUUUUCCAGAUGCAAAUCUGCAAAUUUAUCCACUUGCCUACACCACAGAGCCACCCUGAGGCUCUGCACAGUUGCAGAGGAGCUGUUUCUGAACCCUCCACGAAAAUGCCCAAGCACAGGCUGGUGGGCAGAAGAAGCACCUGGACUCUGCUCCUUGUGGCCUAAGGAAGAAGGACACAGUCAGGACAAUGGAGGCUGCAAUCCCAGCACAGCUUCAAUCCCAGCACAGCUGUACCCUGAGUUCCUGCUGCUGGAACCUUUACCUGGAUUGCCAAAUAAUAUUGUUUUUUUUUCUUGUCAACUUGCCCUGUACUCCUUCAUGUAUUCACUACUACACUUUUCACUACUUUUGAGGAAAAUCUGGAGCUUUUUGCAAUCAGUAUUUCUAUGCAAACUGACUUGUAUUUCAUAACAGGAGGCAUAAUAGGGAGGGAAGCCAGGUAGGGAACAGUAAAGACCUUCACCCUUUCUUCCUCACACACCUGUGAGCCAGAUGUAAACAGCUGCAUGGUAGGUGUCAUUUGUGAUCCAGACUUAAUACAAACCAUGUUAAGGAUUGACUACAAAUGGCUCCAUUAAAAAAAAAAGACAAAAUGCAUAGCUCAGGUAAGUAGCACCUCUUUUCUUAUUUCACCUUUCCUUUUAUCUUAUUUGCUUUCAUAUCUCUGCUAUGGAGGACACUCUUGUGUGGUGGGAUGAAUAGCAGCUGAAUUUCAUUAGUGUGGCCUGGGUGUAUUAAAUUGCUUAAAUAAACACUUGAGCAAUAUGCACAUUCUAAACAUUUGUUUAAGUUCUUACCUGAGCAGGAAUACUUCACUGCUAUUACUUACCUGCACCAACCCCAGUGACUAACCUGGCAGACUGGCUGGUUCUCUCUUUGAUAUUUCAUUUGGUGCAUGUAAAAUUUCCUAAUCCAAGAGUUUCUAGCAGCAAAUCCCUUUAAAUAUUGCAAGGGCAUUGCCUUACAGCAAAGCACCUUCUGAAAACUCCUCCAUGUAAGGAUAAUGGACUUGUUUUUGAGAUAUCAGAGCUGCAGUUGCCCUUGUUCAGCCCUCUACUCUGGAUUUUCACUACUUACUUCCCACUAAAUUUUCUAUUUUUGAAUGCCUUGGAUUGAUACAAGAACCCUUUAAUUUAUGUUUACUUUAAACUUGCAACUUCUUGUCCUAUCCAAAGAAUGUUGAUAGUAACUGUAGGGAGUGCACUGACUGUUUUCCAAUAAUCCAUGUUCCUUUGCUGGAAACUUUAACAAAUAUAUUGAUUUUCAAUCUGGAUCAUGAUAUUUUAUCAUCUCACACUUUACAAUGUCACAUUCCAGACAGCAACAGUUUGAUUCUCCUGUUAUUAUGAGCUAUUCAUAUUUUUAUUAGGCUGCUGAAUAGUUCAUGCUGUGUCAGAUCAUGCUGGUUUCUCUGUAGUAGUUGCAUUAUAAAGCCCUAAGGAAAUAUAUUCUGUAUAACAGGCCUGGCUCAGACUGGGUGUUAAAUCAAUGUUAUAAAACAGUUUGCACUUUAUUCUCUGCAUUUCUCUUCUUUGCAUUUCUUUCCCCUUCCUUCCUUCCUUCCUUCCUUCCUUCCUUCCUUCCUUCCUUCCUUCCUUCCUUCCUUCCUUCCUUCCUUCCUUCCUUCCUUCC
Molecule: long non-coding RNA, 1719 nt
Organism: Passer domesticus (house sparrow)
Lineage: Eukaryota; Metazoa; Chordata; Aves; Passeriformes; Passeridae
Exons: 3
Source: RefSeq, a predicted model, not a curated record